CUUGGAAGGCUUGUUUGGGCCGGGACUAGUCAACAACAACAACAACACCACCCUGUUCCAAGACUGCGAGCCCGAAGAAGCGUCCGACUGGUCCUUCGAUGAAAACUGUCUCUUCUGCUGCCUGAGACGCGAGAAAGUCAAGGAGCACAGCGGUGGAGGCAGCCAGGUGCCGUCGGAGCGGGCUCGGGUCAGCCGGCUGGAGAGACAGGCCCAA
Molecule: long non-coding RNA, 214 nt
Filed under: Cyclopterus lumpus (lumpfish)
Lineage: Eukaryota; Metazoa; Chordata; Actinopteri; Perciformes; Cyclopteridae
Description: lncRNA (ENSCLMG00005009873.1)
Source: RNAcentral